GGGCCCGUGGCGCAACGGCAGCGCAAGUGACUCAUAAUCACCAGGUUCCAGGUUCGAGUCCUGGCGGGCCCA
Molecule: transfer RNA, 72 nt
Filed under: Pseudomonadota bacterium
Lineage: Bacteria; Pseudomonadati; Pseudomonadota
Also listed under: 1 other name
Description: tRNA-Ile
Rfam family: tRNA
About the family: Transfer RNA (tRNA) molecules are approximately 80 nucleotides in length. Their secondary structure includes four short double-helical elements and three loops (D, anti-codon, and T loops).
Source: RNAcentral